GUGGGGAAUUUUGCGCAAUGGGGGAAACCCUGACGCAGCGACGCCGCGUGAAGGACGAAGGCCUUCGGGUUGUAAACUUCUUUUGUAGGGGAAGAUAGUGACGGUACCCUACGAAUAAGCCACGGCUAACUCUGUGCCAGCAGCCGCGGUAAGACAGAGGUGGCAAGCGUUGUUCGGAAUUACUGGGCUUAAAGGGCGCGUAGGCGGUAGGAUAAGUCUGAUGUGGAAGCCCACGGCUCAACCGUGGAAUUGCAUCGGAAACUGUUUUACUUGAGUCAGUGAGGGGAGGGCGGAAUUCCUGGUGUAGCAGUGAAAUGCGUAGAUAUCAGGAGGAAGGCCGGUGGCGAAGGCGGCCCUCUGGCACUUGACUGACGCUGAGGCGCGAAAGCGUGGGGAGCAAACAGGAUUAGAUACCCGAGUAGUCC
This 425-nucleotide ribosomal RNA is filed under the name uncultured bacterium. RNAcentral's name for it is "bacterial SSU rRNA". It matches the Rfam family "Bacterial small subunit ribosomal RNA", at positions 354 to 796 of the family's 1533-position model. The record is from RNAcentral.